CAAUUUUUCCUGUUACAAUCUCGAUGUAGAAAGCAGAAAACACAACAGGAAGUGUUGCAUUUAAAACCUGUUUCCCUGUGGUUUCACUUCUGAAAAACAAGCUUCCUGAUCAGAACUUAGUCACCGAGUUUCAAGGUCUUUUUCAACAACGCAUAUAUUAACAAUAUCUAAGGUCAUGUUUGUUUUAUCUAUAUUACUGAUACUUGUAAUAUUCAACAGAGACCACAGUAGCUUAUCCUGGCCUAUCACCUUAGCUUCAUUUAAACGUAUUUGAUUACAAAAUGUAUUACAGUUUGGUUAGUCAAUGCCACAUAAACCAACUUCACCGAUUUUCUUUUUUUAUUUGUUUUCCCCACAUACAUAGAAUAUCGUACUUUUGACUUUUUCAUGUUACACAGGUCAGAAAAAGAGAAGUCGAAUAAUAAAACAGAAGCACAGAGAGGAUGAUGAUCAUCAGCAUCAGCAAGACAAGGUCAUUUGCAGUAAAGAAUGAUGCAGUGAUUGGAUAAAAUUAUUUCACAUCAUUGUGAA
Cynoglossus semilaevis (tongue sole) is the source of this 531-nucleotide long non-coding RNA. RefSeq lists it as uncharacterized. The record is from RefSeq and is a predicted model, not a curated record. Lineage: Eukaryota; Metazoa; Chordata; Actinopteri; Pleuronectiformes; Cynoglossidae. The transcript has 2 exons.